Molecule: small nuclear RNA, 108 nt
Filed under: Myotis davidii
Lineage: Eukaryota; Metazoa; Chordata; Mammalia; Chiroptera; Vespertilionidae
Source: RNAcentral
GUGCUCGCUUUAGCAGCACAUAUACUAAAAAUGGGAACGAUACAGAGAAGAUUAGCAUGGCACCUGCGCAAGGAUGACAGGCAAAUUCAUGAAGCGUUCUGCAUAAAA